This 310-nucleotide ribosomal RNA is filed under the name uncultured bacterium. RNAcentral describes it as "bacterial SSU rRNA". It matches the Rfam family "Bacterial small subunit ribosomal RNA", at positions 1190 to 1510 of the family's 1533-position model. The record is from RNAcentral.
UCUUCAUGCCUUUAUGUCCUGGCUACACACGUGCUACAAUGGUUGGUACAGAGGGCAGCUAUAUAGUGAUAUAAUGCAAAACUCGAAAGCCAAUCCCAGUUCGGAUUGUAGGCUGCAACUCGCCUACAUGAAGUCGGAGUGCUAGUAAUCGCGGAUCAGAAUGUCGCGGUGAAUGCGUUCCCGGGUCUUGUACACACCGCCCGUCACACCAUGGGAGUGAUAAUACCCGAAGCCUGUGACCUAAUUGAGGAGCAGUCGAAGGUAGGAUUGAUGACUGGGGUGAAGCCGUAACAAGGUAGCCGUAUCGGAA